GGGGGGCUGACUGGUAUGACCCCUGCCGUGACCUCUCACCGUGUUUUCAGUAUCUUCAGCUCAAGAAGAAGUUAGAAGAUGAGUUCCCCGGCCGCCUGGACAUCUGCGGCGAGGGAACUCCCCAGGCCACCGGGUUCUUUGAAGUGAUGGUAGCCGGGAAGUUGAUUCACUCUAAGAAGAAAGGCGAUGGCUACGUGGACACAGAAAGCAAGUUUCUGAAGCUGGUGGCCGCCAUCAAAGCCGCCUUGGCUCAGGGCUAAUGCGCCCUGAAGGCAGAGUCCAGGGACCUUGACCCAGCCCCUCUCAGCAGACGCUUCAUGAUAGGAAGGACUGAAAAAUCUUGUGGACACCUGGUCUUUCCCUGAUGUUCUCGUGGCUGCUGUUGGGGGCAGAGAUUGACGCCCCUGGUCUUUGCCUCUGUGUGAGAGAGUCUGUGUGUAUGUGUCUUCCCCGGAAUCCACACCACCCCACCCUCCUCCUGUCCCGUGGUUUCAUCAUAUCUCUUUGCAUACCCCAUGUCUUCCCCAGUUGUCCCCUGGAGUUUGGGGGGACAUCCCGCCUCAGGCAUCCUUCUCAAGGGGAAGCCAAGAGAGGCAUCAGGAUGGGUGGGUUUCUGAUUGUGGCGACGUUUGCAACCGUUCACGAUUCAAUAAAUAUUGGAUGAAUUUAACCGAA
This 675-nucleotide small RNA is filed under the name Pongo abelii (Sumatran orangutan). RNAcentral's name for it is "retained intron". Lineage: Eukaryota; Metazoa; Chordata; Mammalia; Primates; Hominidae. The record is from RNAcentral.